This 492-nucleotide ribosomal RNA is filed under the name uncultured bacterium. Its description in RNAcentral is "partial 16S ribosomal RNA". It matches the Rfam family "Bacterial small subunit ribosomal RNA", at positions 29 to 507 of the family's 1533-position model. The record is from RNAcentral.
AGUGAACGCUGGCGGUAGGCCUAACACAUGCAAGUCGAACGGCAGCACAGUAAGAGCUUGCUCUUACGGGUGCCGAGUGGCGGACGGGUGCGGAAUACAUCGGAAUCUACUUUUUCGUGGGUGAUAACGUAGGCAAACUUACGCUAAUACCGCUUACGACCUACGGGUGAAAGCAUGGGAUCUCCGGACCUUGCGCGAUUGAAUGAGCCGAUGUCGGAUUAGCUAGUUGGCGGGGUAAAGGCCCACCAAGGCGACGAUCCGUAGCUGGUCUGAGAGGAUGAUCAGCCACACUGGAACUGAGACACGGUCCAGACUCCUACGGGAGGCAGCAGUGGGGAAUAUUGGACAAUGGGCGCAAGCCUGAUCCAGCCAUACCGCGUGGGUGAAGAAGGCCUUCGGGUUGUAAAGCCCUUUUGUUGGGAAAGAAAGGCAGCAGGUUAAUACCCCGCUGUUCUGACGGUACCCAAAGAAUAAGCACCGGCUAACUUCGUG